Molecule: ribosomal RNA, 468 nt
Filed under: uncultured bacterium
Lineage: Bacteria
Description: partial 16S ribosomal RNA
Rfam family: Bacterial small subunit ribosomal RNA
Source: RNAcentral
GACGAACGCUGGCGGCGUGCUUAACACAUGCAAGUCGAACGGAAAGGCCCUGCUUUUGUGGGGUGCUCGAGUGGCGAACGGGUGAGUAACACGUGAGUAACCUGCCCUUGACUUUGGGAUAACUUCAGGAAACUGGGGCUAAUACCGGAUAGGAGCUCCUGCUGCAUGGGGGGGGUUGGAAAGUUUCGGCGGUUGGGGAUGGACUCGCGGCUUAUCCGCUUGUUGGGGGGGUAGGGGCUUACCAAGGCUUUGACGGGUAGCCGGCCUGGGAGGGGUGCCGGCCACCUUGGGACUGCGAUACGGCCCAGAAUCCUACGGGAGGCAGCAGGGGGGAAUAUUGCACAAUGGGCGGAAGCCUGAUGCAGCAACGCCGCGUGCGGGAUGACGGCCUUCGGGUUGUAAACCGCUUUCGCCUGUGACGAAGCGUGAGUGACGGUAAUGGGUAAAGAAGCACCGGCUAACUACGUG